This 293-nucleotide ribosomal RNA is filed under the name uncultured bacterium. RNAcentral's name for it is "partial 16S ribosomal RNA". It matches the Rfam family "Bacterial small subunit ribosomal RNA", at positions 505 to 796 of the family's 1533-position model. The record is from RNAcentral.
GUGCCAGCAGCCGCGGUAACACGUAGGGGCCAAGCGUUGUCCGGAUUCAUUGGGCGUAAAGAGCUCGUAGGCGGUUCAGUUAGUCGGGUGUGAAAUCUCCGGGCUCAACCCGGAGGGGCCACCCGAUACUGCUGUGACUCGAGUCCGGUAGGGGAGUGGGGAAUUCCUGGUGUAGCGGUGAAAUGCGCAGAUAUCAGGAGGAACACCGGUGGCGAAGGCGCCACUCUGGGCCGGUACUGACGCUGAGGAGCGAAAGCGUGGGUAGCAAACAGGAUUAGAAACCCUGGUAGUCC